This is a long non-coding RNA of Oreochromis niloticus (Nile tilapia), 1976 nucleotides long. The record is from Ensembl. Lineage: Eukaryota; Metazoa; Chordata; Actinopteri; Cichliformes; Cichlidae.
AUUGAAUGCUGCAAAUACUACUAUUGGUAUUCACACUCCAUACCACUAGGUGGCGAUAAUGCUACUUGCCAGAAACAAAAGUGCAUCCGCUUCUGUUGCUAAAAUUAUGCUACACAUAAAAAUGUUCAGAGCAUGACAGGUCUUACAAGUUUAACCUUCUUCUGUUACACUGUUUGUCUGUUAAGCUUUAACUGGAACUUAGCAUUAACAGCCAUUUAAGAAAUCUAACGUUAACCUAAGCUAGUUAGCUGUUUACUCGAAUAAGUUCUGUUAGCAGCUAAGAUAACUGAACGGUCAUAUAACUGGGCUAAUAGCGAGAGUAAACGUUUCUAGGUCAGAACUCAUUCUCAAUGGAUGUCAGCAUUGCUGUGUCACUAAUUCGAGGCCAGAUGGGGACCGUAGUCGAGCGAGCAGUAAAUGGAGCGGUCGAGACGGUGCUGGCCGAGAUGCUUAAAGUGGUCGGAGUCAAAUUUGAGGAGCUAAAGGCUCAAGUGGUGCAGAUGAAGAGGGACAUGAUGGCGUUGCAGAGUGAGAAGGCUCAAAAAGAGAAGGAGAACGACAACAUUCGAGCCAAGCUACGUUACACGGAGCUGAAGCUCAAGUACUACAGGCAAGGAGUGGAGGAGGAGCUGCAGCAGAGAGCCUCUGCUUCUACCCUAGUCUGGAUUCAGCCACCAACCCUACCACGAACACAGAGAAGCAGAUCUGGCGUUUCCCCAACCAAGACCCUGUCGUCAUUCUCAGUUCAGACCAGGACUGCUGAGGGAGCGUUGAUGAGGAACAGCAACAUCCCAGAAUGCACCUCACCAAACAGCAUGAACAGGCAAAAAGUCAGAGUGUCCUGCCCUUCAAAUGUGGCCCACACUGACUCGUCUGACCUGCUGCUUCCUGCUUCACUCACUCUGAAUGUGGCUGGAGAAUCUCUGGACAGCAGUACAGUGUUGUUCUGUCCUAGCUCAGACCCCGUUCAGUGUAAGAAAGUUGAACAAGUGGAUGAGUAUGAAUGGGCCAUUCUGCACUCUAAUACAGAAGACAUGGAUAGUGCCAUAGCCUCUUCUCCUGCCCAGGCUCCGACUUUAGAUGAUGGGCAAGAGUCAGGGGAUCCCUCUCUGUCUCCAGGUGGCGCCACCUAUGCAGAUAGCUCCACGCUGCACUUCUCUGUUCCAGAGAUGAAGCAGGAGGCCCAGGAAAAGGAGAAGGAGGUGAUCUAUAUAAAAGAGGAGCCAGAGGAAGAGCAAGAGAUGAUGGCCACCCUACUGCUUGACUGCCACGAACAGCAGGGUCAUCAGCCAGAGUCAGAGCCUCAACAGUCAGUGACAGAGUGCCCAAGUGCUCGAGGAAGCCAAAGAAAUACUACAGCCUUGAGCUCAGCUGGACGAACCACCCAUUCAGCAGCUCAGUCAGCUGCCAUCUUGCCACCUGGUGUCCCACCUCGCCAAGUGGGGCGACCCUGGGCUAAAGACCUUAGCCUUUAUGAAGAAUACAAAAUGCGGAGGAGUGAGCUUCGUCGCCGAAACAUGACAAAGCGCAGAGAACUGGAGAAAUCGUUACCUCAACCGCUGCUGGCAGAUCUGGUGCGGGAGCGUCGAGAGAAGACCAGACUGAGGGUAGCCAGGUGGAGGGCAAAACGGAAACUCCAGGCCUGCCUUAACCAGAUGCAGGCCUAUGGAGACACUCAAGGUCUUUCUCAGACUGGCUUUCCCAUCGGCAGUCAGCAUCAGCAGCCCAGAUCAGCUUGUACUUCCACCUCCAGCACUCAGCAGAGACAGAGCUCAGCAGCAUCCCAGUCCAGCGGCUUCCUCAGCAACAUAUCAGCACCAAAUAGCAUCCCACUGAUAUCUUCUUCCUCUUCCACCCUGGUUCUGAAAGGCCCCAACAUGGCUCCACAUGAGCAUGCUGUGGCAUCAUCACUUUCCUACCCCCAUGGCAACAUCUCUCCACAAAGACUCUCUCAGACAGACACUAUCUUACAGUGA